GAUGAACGCUGGCGGCGUGCCUAAUACAUGCAAGUCGAGCGAACGGACGAGAAGCUUGCUUCUCUGAUGUUAGCGGCGGACGGGUGAGUAACACGUGGAUCACCCACCUAUCAUACUGGGAUAACUUCGGGAAACCGUAUCUAAUACCGGAUAAUAUUCUGAACCGCAUUGUUCAAAAGUGAAAGACGGUCUUGCUGUCACUUAUAGAUGCUUCCGCGCUGGAUUAGCUAGUUGGUCAGGUCACGGCGUACCAAGGCAACGAUGCAUAGCCGAACUGAGAGGGUGAUCGGCCACACUGGAGCUGAGACACGGUCCAGACUCCUACGGGAGGGAGCAGUAGGGAAUCGUACGCAGUGGGCGGAAGCCUGACGGAGCAACGCCAAGUGAGUGAUGAAGGUCUUCGGAGCGUAAAGCUCUGUUAUUAGGGAAGAACAGAUGUGUAAGUAACUGUAGACAUCGUGACGGUACCUAAUAAGAAAGCAACGGCUAACUACGUG
This 497-nucleotide ribosomal RNA is filed under the name uncultured bacterium. RNAcentral's name for it is "partial 16S ribosomal RNA". It matches the Rfam family "Bacterial small subunit ribosomal RNA", at positions 28 to 507 of the family's 1533-position model. The record is from RNAcentral.